GAUGAACGCUGGCGGCGUGCCUAAUACAUGCAAGUCGAGCGAACAGAUGAGGAGCUUGCUCCUCUGACGUUAGCGGCGGACGGGUGAGUAACACGUGGAUAACCUACCUAUAAUACUGGGAUAACUUCGGGAAACCGGAGCUAAUACCGGAUAAUAUAUUGAACCGCAUGGUUCAAUAGUGAAAGACGGUUUUGCUGUCACUUAUAGAUGGAUCCGCGCCGCAUUAGCUAGUUGGUAAGGUAACGGCUUACCAAGGCAACGAUGCGUAGCCGACCUGAGAGGGUGAUCGGCCACACUGGAACUGAGACACGGUCCAGACUCCUACGGGAGGCAGCAGUAGGGAAUCUUCCGCAAUGGGCGAAAGCCUGACGGAGCAACGCCGCGUGAGUGAUGAAGGUCUUCGGAUCGUAAAACUCUGUUAUUAGGGAAGAACAAAUGUGUAAGUAAAUAUGCACGUCUUGACGGUACCUAAUCAAAAAGCCACGGCUAACUACGUG
RNAcentral lists this ribosomal RNA (497 nucleotides) under uncultured bacterium. RNAcentral's name for it is "partial 16S ribosomal RNA". It matches the Rfam family "Bacterial small subunit ribosomal RNA", at positions 28 to 507 of the family's 1533-position model. The record is from RNAcentral.